This is an RNA transcript of Populus nigra (black poplar), 2995 nucleotides long. RefSeq lists it as uncharacterized. NCBI's taxonomy places the organism in Eukaryota, Viridiplantae, Streptophyta, Magnoliopsida, Malpighiales, Salicaceae. The transcript is spliced from 8 exons. The record is from RefSeq and is a predicted model, not a curated record.
ACAUCUCUCUCACGAUCUGUUCUCCACAACCUUUGCAAACCUCGGAAGUCGAAACCAAAGUUUGCAGCUACGAAGAUAAACUUUAAGCUCAAAACCUCCCCUUUUAACCCCAUAAAUAGCUCAGUUACACUCUCGCUACUCUAUCUUUAUUGUGUUGUCAAUUUAUGUGACUUGUGGUAUUCAGUGAUGAAAGAUUAGAUCUUUUCCAACGAAGACGGGCUAAAAUUGUGUUCCAUUACUCUAAAUUUUGGUAUUAAAUACACCUCCAUUUCGUUUAUCUGUUGGUCUUUGUAGAGAUUUAGAGGCUUAUGAAUGGCUUGCAGAGUGGCUGGCAAAAGGGGUAUUGAUGUUGGUCUCACAAGAGUUUUGACUUCACCAUCGCUAGGGCAUGCUGUGGCGUUAACUUCAAGAACUAGUCUUGAUGGUGCUUCAGUCAGAUAUAUACCUGAGUCUUCUUUCAGCUCAUUUCUACAAGGGUCUGGUCAUCACACUACAAAAGAAUCAUCUAUCAGGUGCUUUCACGCUAGUCGAGAACUGUGGGCUAGAAGAAAAAAUGAUAACCAAGGAGGUGAUUUGAAGACGCAAAAGAAAGGGAAGUUUGCUAAAAGGAUCAAAAAACCUCCAGUUGAUGCUCCAUAUGUGCCUCCUAAACUGAAAAGAAUUACCAAGUCCUUGCAAGAUAAAACAAUUGACAUAUUUGAAGGCAUGACCACUGUUGAGCUUGCCAAGCGCACUGGUCAGUCAGUUAUAACUCUGCAGGAAUUUCUUGUUAAUCUUGGGGAGAAGGUUGUCUCAGAAUUUGACCCACUCAAGAUCGAUGUUGCGGAGCUGGUUGUAAUGGAGGUUGGGGCCAAUGUCAGGAGGCAACACUCCAAUGAAGGUUCAGAAAUUCUUCCCCGACCAGUGGUUGUAACAGUCAUGGGUCAUGUUGACCAUGGUAAAACUUCUCUUUUGGAUGCUCUACGUCAAACAUCAGUGGCAGCAAAGGAAGCUGGAGGCAUAACUCAGCAUCUGGGUGCUUUUGUUGUGAGCAUGCCUUCAGGGGCAUCAAUCACAUUCCUUGACACUCCUGGUCAUGCUGCUUUUAGUGCAAUGCGAGCAAGAGGUGCAGCAGUAACCGAUCUAGUUGUGCUCGUUGUUGCAGCUGAUGAUGGGGUGAUGCCUCAAACUCUUGAAGCCAUAUCUCAUGCAAAAUCAGCUAAUGUACCAGUUGUAGUUGCAAUUAAUAAAUGUGAUAAACCGAGUGCAAACCCUGAGAGAGUCAAACUCCAGCUUGCAUCUGAAGGAUUUUUGCUUGAGGAAAUGGGUGGAGAUAUUCAGGUAGUUGAAGUUUCAGCUGUUACAAAAACUGGAUUGGAUAACCUGGAGGAGGCUAUACUUCUUCAGGCAGAGAUGAUGGAAUUAAAAGCACGUGUUGAUGGUCAUGCUCAAGCUUAUGUAGUAGAGGCAAAACUUGACAAAGGACGGGGUCCUUUGGCUACUGCUAUAGUGAAGGCGGGGACUUUAGUUUGUGGGCAGCACGUGGUUGUUGGCUCAGAGUGGGGAAGAAUAAGGGCUAUUAGGGAUAUGUCAGGGAAGCUGACUGAGCAGGCAAGACCAGCAAUGCCAGUUGUUAUCGAAGGGCUGAAGGGGCUUCCUAUGGCUGGUGAUGAUGUUACUGUUGUGGAAACUGAGGAGCGAGCUAGAAUGCUAAGUGCAGGGAGGAGAAGGAAAUAUGAAAAAGACAGGCUUAGGCAGAUCAUGGAGCAAAGGACAGAAACUAACGAACCAUCAGAAGAUGACUCUGUUGUGCCUGAGAGGACUGAAAUGCCAUUAAUAGUAAAAGCAGACGUGCAAGGAACUGUCCAAGCUGUUACAGAUGCCUUGAGGACUUUAAACAGCCCUCAGGUUUUUGUGAAUGUGGUCCAUGUUGGUGUUGGGCCUAUUUCUCAGUCUGAUGUGGACUUGGCACAAGCCUGUGGUGCAUAUAUAGUUGGGUUCAAUGUGAAGAGUCCACCUAGUUCUAUUAGUCAGGCUGCGAUGCAAGCUGGUACAAAGAUUAUGCAACACCAGGUGAUCUAUCACCUAUUGGAUGAAGUUGGCAAUUUGAUAGUAGACAAAGCCCCUGGGACACUCGAGACCCAGGUAGCUGGGGAGGCUGAAGUGCUGAACAUCUUUGAGCUAAGAGGAAGGAGCAAGUCUGCAGGAGGUGAUAUAAAGAUUGCUGGCUGCAGAGUGAUGGAUGGCCAUUUUAGCAAAUCAUCGACCAUGAGGCUUCUAAGGAGUGGGGAAGAAGUGUUCGAAGGACCUUGUGCAUCUCUAAAGACUAACAAGCAUGAUGUGGAAUUGGUGGAGAAAGGAAAUGAAUGUGGACUUGUGAUCCUUGGCUGUAAUGAUUUUCAGAUUGGAGACGUCAUCCAGUGCUUGGAGCAAGUAGUUAGGAAGCCCAAGUUGAUCAUAUCAGACAAUGGUAUUGCUCGAAUUGAGUGCUAUUAGUGCCUUUAAUAGCGAUAAUUCUUCAAGACAGGUUCAAUUCUCCAGUCCAGAUGUUUCCAGUUGGUGUUGAGUGAUGGCUUCAGCUGUUGAGGUAGUUGUUAAGCAUGACAAGGUGCGUAAAUGAUAACAGAAACAGCUCUUCAACUGAGGCUAACACUCAUCGGGUCCAAGUGUAAUGGGGGAAAUUCAGUAAUAGCUUGGCAUUUGCGAGUCUCCUUGUUGAAAGACUCCUUGUGUUCACCUGGCCAUUACAGCACAAGGUCAUUUAAAAAAUCAGUUUUGAAAUCUUUUUUGGCGAUCCCCGAUGUAGAGCUGAAUUUGAAGGCAAAUAAUAUGAGCUGAUGACAGAAGGCAUGGUAGAAUCGUAGACUUAUCAACAGAACCCCAAACCAGUUAUAGAUUUAACAAAAGAGCAAUAUAAAAAAAAUGUGAUUUUGGAUAUCGGUGGUCGGGUUUUUACCCAUAAUUAUAUUCAAUUUAACUUCUUAUAUUUUAUAAAAUAUAAAUUUGAUUUAUUCAA